UCAAGCCUACGGGACGCAGCAGUGGGGAAUAUUGCACAAUGGGGGAAACCCUGAUGCAGCGACGCCGCGUGAGUGAGGAAGUAUUUCGGUAUGUAAAGCUCUAUCAGCAGGGAAGAAAAAAUGACGGUACCUGACUAAGAAGCACCGGCUAAAUACGUGCCAGCAGCCGCGGUAAUACGUAUGGUGCAAGCGUUAUCCGGAUUUACUGGGUGUAAAGGGAGCGUAGGCGGCCACGCAAGUCAGAAGUGAAAACCC
RNAcentral lists this ribosomal RNA (255 nucleotides) under uncultured bacterium. Its description in RNAcentral is "partial 16S ribosomal RNA". It matches the Rfam family "Bacterial small subunit ribosomal RNA", at positions 333 to 603 of the family's 1533-position model. The record is from RNAcentral.